GGGCCUGCACAAGCGGUGGAGCAUGUGGUUUAAUUCGAAGCAACGCGAAGAACCUUACCAGGUCUUGACAUCCUUUGACCAUUCUGGAGACAGAACUUUCCCUUCGGGGACAAAGUGACAGGUGGUGCAUGGUUGUCGUCAGCUCGUGUCGUGAGAUGUUGGGUUAAGUCCCGCAACGAGCGCAACCCUUGUCGUUAGUUACCAUCAUUAAGUUGGGGACUCUAGCGAGACUGCCGGUGACAAACCGGAGGAAGGUGGGGAUGACGUCAAAUCAUCAUGCCCCUUAUGACCUGGGCUACACACGUGCUACAAUGGGGAGUACAACGAGCAGCAAGCCGGUGACGGCAAGCGAAUCUCUUAAAACUCCUCUCAGUUCGGAUCGUAGUCUGCAACUCGACUACGUGAAGCCGGAAUCGCUAGUAAUCGCGGAUCAGCAUGCCGCGGUGAAUACG
Molecule: ribosomal RNA, 452 nt
Filed under: uncultured Lactobacillales bacterium
Lineage: Bacteria; Bacillati; Bacillota; Bacilli; Lactobacillales
Description: bacterial SSU rRNA
Rfam family: Bacterial small subunit ribosomal RNA
Source: RNAcentral